RNAcentral lists this ribosomal RNA (466 nucleotides) under uncultured bacterium. RNAcentral describes it as "partial 16S ribosomal RNA". It matches the Rfam family "Bacterial small subunit ribosomal RNA", at positions 28 to 507 of the family's 1533-position model. The record is from RNAcentral.
GACGAACGCUGGCGGUGUGCUUAACACAUGCAAGUCGAACGGUAAGGCCCUUUCGGGGGUACACGAGUGGCGAACGGGCGAGUAACACGUGAGUAACCUGCCCUCAUCUCUGGGAUAACAGUCGGAAACGGUUGCUAAUACUGGAUAUGAGCUUGCAAGGCAUCUUGUGGGUUGGAAAGAUUUUUUUGGUUGGGGAUGGACUCGCGGCCUAUCAGCUUGUUGGUGAGGUAGUGGCUCACCAAGGCUUCGACGGGUAGCCGGCCUGAGAGGGCGACCGGCCACAUUGGGACUGAGAUACGGCCCAAACUCCUACGGGAGGCAGCAGUGGGGAAUAUUGCACAAUGGACGGAAGUCUGAUGCAGCAACGCCGCGUGCGGGAUGACGGCCUUCGGGUUGUAAACCGCUUUCAAUUGUGACGAAGCUUUUUGUGACGGUAGCAGUAGAAGAAGCACCGGCUAACUACGUG